RNA transcript from Aethalodelphis obliquidens (Pacific white-sided dolphin), 3015 nucleotides. It is a transcript of the gene named geranylgeranyl diphosphate synthase 1, with no coding region annotated. The transcript has 7 exons. Lineage: Eukaryota; Metazoa; Chordata; Mammalia; Artiodactyla; Delphinidae. The record is from RefSeq and is a predicted model, not a curated record.
AAGGCGGAGAGUGCUAUCGUGAAGUGAGGGGAGGGAUUCAUGUAGGCAUCCGGGGGAGCCUUGUUCUGAACUAUAAGGUGGGAAGUUGAUGCUGGGUACUGCUACUCCCGGACCCCCGGCGUGAAAGUUGUGAUAUCAUCCUCGAACCAUCAGCUUUGAAAUUAAAAAACAAUGGAGAAGACUCAAGAAACAGCCCAAAGAAUUCUUCUAGAACCUUACAAGUACUUACUUCAGUUACCAGGUAAACAAGUGAGAACCAAACUUUCACAGGCGUUUAAUCAUUGGCUAAAAGUUCCAGAAGACAAGCUACAGAUUAUCAUUGAAGUGACGGAAAUGUUGCAUAAUGCCAGUUUACUCAUCGAUGAUAUUGAAGACAACUCAAAACUCCGUCGUGGCUUUCCAGUGGCACACAGCAUCUAUGGAAUUCCAUCUGUCAUCAAUUCUGCCAAUUAUGUAUAUUUUCUUGGCCUAGAGAAAGUCUUAACCCUUGAUCACCCAGAUGCAGUAAAGCUUUUUACCCGCCAGCUUUUAGAACUCCAUCAGGGACAAGGCCUGGAUAUCUACUGGAGGGAUAAUUACACUUGUCCCACUGAAGAAGAAUAUAAAGCAAUGGUGCUGCAAAAGACAGGUGGACUAUUUGGAUUAGCAGCCCUCAGCCCCUGGAGCCAUCUUAUGGCACAAGAGAAAGAAAAAUAUAUCUGAAGAAUUGAAAAUUGGUAUAGUGGAUAAUGGAAGCUAUUUAGACCUCAAUGGGCAAAGCAGUACUAAUGGGAAGGAGAAAAGUGCCAGGCUUUGAGGGAUCACUGUUGGCUUCAAUAAUAAACCUGCCAAUGGAGUCUGAUGCCUGCAGUUGAGAGGUAAGGAGGCCCUAACACUGACUGAGAUUAAAUUUUCUGCUAGCCCUGCAAGAAGGGAGUGAAAAAAGAACAUUCAUCCUUUCAAGAUGCUGGACUGAAUACGUGUUUGUCUUUUCUCCCUCUUGAGAGAAUACUAAAAGGAAAGAAAAAGAAUAAAAAGGCUAAAAUAUCAAAAUAACCUUGAGAAUUGGAAGGGCUUUGUUAGUGGAUGAGAAAUUCCAAAAAAUGUCUGGACUACAGAAAGCAGAAAGACUACUGAUUGAUGUAAGCAGUGGGGAUAUGGCCAGAGCUAAGGCUAUGUAGAGAAGGGGCUGUGGCUGAAACGGGACCCAGCAGGCUCAGGAGAACUGAAAGUACUUGGCAGAAUAAUGGAGCCCCAGCGAUGCCCACGUCCUCAUCCUCGGAGCUGGUGAACAGAUUAGAUUACAUGGGAAAGGGGAAUUAAGGGUGAAGAGAAAUUAUGGUUGCUCAUUGAUGAUCUCAGAAUAGGGAGAUUAUCCUGCAUUAUCCAGGUGGACCCACCUGUAACUACAAGCUUCCUCAAAGGAGAAGAAGGAGGCAGAAGGGGAGAGUCAGAAUGAGACGUGACAUUGGAACCAAAGUCAGAGUGGUGUGAUGAGAAGGACUCAACCCACCGUUUCUGCCUUUAAACAUGGAGGAAGGGGGCCACAAGCCACAGAAUGCAGGUGGCUUCUGGAAACUACAAAGACAAGGAAACGGAUUCUGCCCGGGAGUCUCCAGAAGGGAACACAGCCCUGCUGAUACCUUGAGAAGUGUUGGACUUCUACAGAACUCUAUAUAAUAAAUAUAUGUUGUUUAAGCCAGUAAGUUUGUGGUAAUAGGAAACGAACUGGAACAGCUCUCUACUUGUCAACAAAGAGGACUGGAGAGAUAAAUGUGGAUGAAAACAAAUUAAUUGAUAGUCUGUAAAUGGAAGUGUACAUCUCCCCAUGCUACCUCUUUCUUACACCCCAAUGGGCAAACUAAAUCAUCACUGCCAGAUAUUUUAUCCUCAAGCAGAAGAGUAAGACAUCUUUUUAGAGAAGUAGAAGUGAGUUUCUGGGAAGAAUUUGAGCAAAUAGGAAAGGUAUUGGUGUCAAAGAGCUACAUUCUUCUGUUCUGGCAUCAGGGAGUCUUCCUGGAGCAUCAUGGCUGCUCCCUUCCCAAUCACAUGACACUGAAACUUACCAGCCAGCCAGCCAGCCCUGCUUGCAUAAGCUGAGCUCCCAUUAGCUCCCAUUUAGGAUUUCUCAUGCCUCAUUCUGUCUGAAACACAAAUGGACAACCAGAAACUCCCACACAUUUAUAGAAUACCUGCAGUAUGACAGAGAAAGACCAAGGUAAAAAAAAAAAGAAGCAAAACCAAAAUGAAACAAGAAAAAUAUAGAAAAACUCAAAUUAGAGGGAACAGAAAAAACAGAGAACACCUUAAAACAAAAUAAGACAAACCACAAUCUGUAAGUAGUGUCACUGGAGAGAUCUGAGGGGAUAUGGAAUGGAAUCUAUGGCCGCUGUUGUUGUUUAUCUUCCUAACAGUCAUCCCGCACUUCUACUUCAUGAAAAGAACCUUUUUGAUAUUAUCCCCAUGUUGCAUGGCCAUGUGUUUCAGGAAAAACAGAAUUCUCUCCUCCUCGGGGGGUCUUAGUCUGUGUCACUUAAGGCCUUCAGCCAGUUGGGUGAGGCUCACCCACAUAAUGGAGGGCAAUCUGCUUGACUCAAAGUCUGCUGAUUUAAAUGUUGAUCUCAUCUAAAACAUACCUUCACAGCAACACUGAGACUGGUGUUGACCAAGUCUCUGGGUACAAUGGCCUAGCCAAGUUGACACAUAAAAUUAACCUUCACAACCACAUGCCAAGAUGAAAAGUUGCACAUCAGAAGGUACCAAAAGUUCCUUAGAAGCAGGCUGGAGAGAACUUGGUAUGAUAAACCUCUGCCACUGUGAAGUCCCCCGUGGAAGGCUGACUCCUCCUUGGGAUGGAGCUGUGAGGAGGACAGAUAGGAAGAAGACUGUAAAAUGUUACAAUAAAAGAAUUAGCAUUUGAUUUUUUUUCUUAUAUAAAUGUUUUUCAGGAUGUCCUUAUGAACAAUUAUUCAUAGCCUCAACUCCUGUGGUGUCCAGUAAAACACUGUGAAAUCAAAUAAAUCUCCAGAAAUUGAA